Non-coding RNA from Suillus placidus, 82 nucleotides. The record is from the annotation of a GenBank genome assembly. NCBI's taxonomy places the organism in Eukaryota, Fungi, Basidiomycota, Agaricomycetes, Boletales, Suillaceae.
GGCCGCCUGGCGAAAUGGCAUCGCGUCUGACUACGAUAAGACGGCGAUCAGGAGAUUGCAGGUUCGACCCCUGCGGUGGUCA